RNAcentral lists this ribosomal RNA (414 nucleotides) under uncultured bacterium. RNAcentral describes it as "bacterial SSU rRNA". It matches the Rfam family "Bacterial small subunit ribosomal RNA", at positions 355 to 775 of the family's 1533-position model. The record is from RNAcentral.
UCGAGGAUCUUCGGCAAUGAGCGCAAGCUUGACCGAGCGACGCCGCGUGUGCGACGAAGGCCUUCGGGUUGUAAAGCACUGUCGGGGGGGAGAAAACCGGGAAACCGGCUGAUCUAUCCCCGGAGGAAGCACGGGCUAAGUUCGUGCCAGCAGCCGCGGUAAGACGAACCGUGCGAACGUUGUUCGGAAUCACUGGGCUUAAAGGGCGCGUAGGCGGGUCGCCGCGUCCGGGGUGAAAUCCUCCGGCCCAACCGGAGAACGGCCUCGGAUACGGGCGACCUCGAGGGGGGUAGGGGCUCGCGGAACUGUGGGUGGAGCGGUGAAAUGCGUUGAUAUCCACAGGAACUCCGGCGGCGAAGGCGGCGGGCUGGACCUUUUCUGACGCUGAGGCGCGAAAGCCAGGGGAGCGAACGG